Macaca mulatta (Rhesus monkey) is the source of this 572-nucleotide non-coding RNA. NCBI's taxonomy places the organism in Eukaryota, Metazoa, Chordata, Mammalia, Primates, Cercopithecidae. The record is from RefSeq and is a predicted model, not a curated record.
AAAAAAACCCAGUCUGAGCAGAGAGAAAGUCUCUGCUUUGAAGGAGGAAAAAAAGACAAAGAUGAAGCUCACUGCUCCUGGCACUGGAACUGAAGGGAACACGCAGGUCAUCUGAGGUCAAGUUCAGGGCAUGCAGCCAGCCACCAGGCGGGAAGGAAGCAGAGUGAAUGCCUGCCUGCUCUCCCAGCCCUCCACCUUCUGAGCAGAAGUCCCACACUGGCCCCCUUUGCUGGGUCUCCCAAGGGACCUCAGAGACUCCUUCCAGACCCGGGCAUUUGGGCUCUGGCCUCAAAGACACAGCCUACGUAGAAAUGCUGAAAGAAACAGAAAAAUCAUCAUUGACAUCCAACACCAGCACUGGAAUGUUCAUCAGAGCCUCAAAGUGGAGCCUAUAAGAAGCGUGAACGUUUGGGGGACAGAAAAAAAGAAAAGUAAUUUGAGUCAAGUUUCACAUACUUGCCAAGUCUUUCUUACUCAGAGAACAGCUCUAAAUUCAACAUGACUUUUCAAUGAAACUGCGUGUAAACUGCAUUUAAAAAAACAAAUUCAAUAAAGUUGGCUGGAAACAGAAA